This 400-nucleotide ribosomal RNA is filed under the name phytoplankton environmental sample. RNAcentral describes it as "partial small subunit ribosomal RNA". It matches the Rfam family "Eukaryotic small subunit ribosomal RNA", at positions 587 to 987 of the family's 1831-position model. The record is from RNAcentral.
AGCUCCAAUAGCGUAUAUUAAUGUUGUUGCAGUUAAAAAGCUCGUAGUUGGAUUUCUGACAGGAGCGACCGGUCCGAUCCUUUGGGUCGAGUACUUUGUGUUGUCUCUAGUCAUCCUUAUGGAGAACCUGCGUGGCAUUAAGUUGUCGUGUAGGGGAACCAUAUCGUUUACUGUGAAAAAAUUAGAGUGUUUAAAGCAGGCAAUCGCUGUGAAUACGUUAGCAUGGAAUAAUAAGAUAGGACUUUGGUACUAUUUUGUUGGUUUACAUACCAGGGUAAUGAUUAAGAGGGACAGUUGGGGGUAUUCGUAUUUAAUUGUCAGAGGUGAAAUUCUUGGAUUUAUGAAAGACGAACUACUGCGAAAGCAUUUACCAAGGAUGUUUUCAUUAAUCAAGAACGAA